This 375-nucleotide small RNA is filed under the name Arabidopsis thaliana (thale cress). Its description in RNAcentral is "ATSL104430". Lineage: Eukaryota; Viridiplantae; Streptophyta; Magnoliopsida; Brassicales; Brassicaceae. The record is from RNAcentral.
CUCGAUCACACAAGAUGGAAAAAUUGCAAGAAAUAUUACACACAAGCUUAACAAUUCACCUACAACUACAACACUACAACAGAUACUCAAUAAAUUUCAGUAAAUAUAAGAUUACCUGAAGUUGCUCUUUUUUUAUUUAUUGAAUACCAUGAGGUUUUAAGCCGAAACCCGUAAUUCUCCAAAGCCCGAAAUCACAUCAUGUAAUAUUAGUUUCAUCUCAAACGUCACUCGAACCGGCGACCUCUAAGCAUGUAAAUUGCUUAACGAUCUUUGGAGCCAAGAAUGGCAAAAUCACAAUCCCACAAUGGAAACAAUAUAAAAGUUAACUAAGCUAAUCCAACAAUGCAAAGAGGAACUCUAUAGAGAUUAUAUUAU